Molecule: non-coding RNA, 108 nt
Organism: Vicugna pacos (alpaca)
Lineage: Eukaryota; Metazoa; Chordata; Mammalia; Artiodactyla; Camelidae
Source: RefSeq, a predicted model, not a curated record
CUAUACUACAAAGCUACAAACAAUAAUCAAAUCAGUAUAGUACUGGCAUCAAGACAGACAAAUAGAUCAAUGGAACAGAAAAGAAAGUCCAGAAAUAGAACCACAAAU